AGGAAAGGCGGGAGGACAUUGCUGGACGCGCCUCGGCGCACCCAGAAACCCUUUGUGAACUUAUACCUUACUGUUGCCUCGGCGCAGGCCGGCCCCCCUCGCGGGGGCCCCUCGUUCCUGACGAGGAGCAGGCUCGCCGGCGGCCAAGUUAACUCUUGUUGUUAUUGUGAAACUCUGAGAAUAAAACAUAAAUGAAUCAAAACUUUCAACAACGGAUCUCUUGGUUCUGGCAUCGAUGAAGAACGCAGCGAAAUGCGAUAAGUAAUGUGAAUUGCAGAAUUCAGUGAAUCAUCGAAUCUUUGAACGCACAUUGCGCCCUCUGGUAUUCCGGAGGGCAUGCCUGUUCGAGCGUCAUUUCAACCCUCAAGCCUGGCUUGGUGAUGGGGCACUGCCUUUAGUGUAAAAACGAAGGGCAGGCCCUGAAAUUCAGUGGCGAGCUCGCCAGGACUCCGAGCGCAGUAGUUAAACCCUCGCUUUGGAAGGACUGGCGGUGCCCUGCCGUUAAACCCCCAACUUUUGAAAAUUUGACCUCGGAUCAGGUAGGAAUACCCGCUGAACUUAAGCAUAUCAAUAAGCGGAGGAA
This 583-nucleotide ribosomal RNA is filed under the name Phomopsis sp. IP-58. RNAcentral describes it as "eukaryotic LSU rRNA". The stretch from base 201 to 354 matches the Rfam family "5.8S ribosomal RNA". Lineage: Eukaryota; Fungi; Ascomycota; Sordariomycetes; Diaporthales; Diaporthaceae. The record is from RNAcentral.